ACGGAAAGCAGUCAAGCGGCGCGUCAUCAAUAUGGCGGCGAAUCUCGAGGAGGCUGGAGGAGAAAAUUAAUGUUUACGCGAGUGCAAGGAAUACAUGUCGCGAGACAGGACACGAUAAGACGUCGAAAAGCGCCGCGCUAUCAACCACCGCCACGAAACGUCGUCGUCGUCGUCAUCAUUGUCUUCCCGUUGACUUCCUCGAUUAGAUCAGAAUACUGGAAUUUGACUAAUGCCGUUACCAACCGACAUGGAAGCAAAAUUGCUGCGCCAGAUAGUUCUUGCAGGUAUGGCGGAUCUAAAAGAGGAUCAGGAUAAGGCCAAGUGGAAAUAUGCUUUAGAGGUUAGAACACCAUCAGAAAUGGAGGAACCUGGUUCAUGCAUUCUUCGUGCGUUCUACGGAAAAUCAGUCCGGAAUAGGUGGUUUAUAAAGAGGUGUACGAAACGAAUAAGAUGUAUAUGCGAGGUGUCACGGCGAUAGAACCCGAAUGAUUGCCGAAAUUCGCUUCCACGCUAUGCCAUCUUAGCCUGAGUUCCGAUAUUCGCUGCAAGUACUGAAAAUCUAUAGUUUACGUGACGUACAUUAUAGUUUUUCAGUACUGACAGUGAAUAUCGGAACGUAGCCUUAGUGAAUCAUUGGUUGAUCCACCGCCAAGAUAUAAUCAAGGAACCGGGAAGAUCAUUUGCCGCGUGUCUGGUACAUUUGGAAAGGCCGGAUGGGGACUACCAUCGAUGGAUAUAGAGCAUCUGUGGACGGUGUAAAGUGGUUCGCGUAUUUCUUCUUGGGGUGCGUUCAGAUUCCCCACCUGGUAGGUGAUCGCUGGGUGACCGGGUGAGUGGGCGGAGCUACCGAGAAGCUCCCGAGUGGUUUAUGGAAUUUGAACGCACUCGACGCGCUCUAUCUCUAUUCUCUCGUCACUACCGGUACAAAAUUGUAUCCCUUCUCACGUAAGUUAAC
Molecule: long non-coding RNA, 955 nt
Organism: Temnothorax curvispinosus
Lineage: Eukaryota; Metazoa; Arthropoda; Insecta; Hymenoptera; Formicidae
Exons: 4
Source: RefSeq, a predicted model, not a curated record